RNAcentral lists this unclassified non-coding RNA (200 nucleotides) under soil metagenome. RNAcentral's name for it is "partial contains internal transcribed spacer 2 and large subunit ribosomal RNA". The record is from RNAcentral.
GCGUCAUCUCAACCCUCAAGCUCCGCUUGGUGUUGGGCCUCGUCCCCCCGCGGACGUGCCCGAAACCCGUAGGCGGCGCCGCACCGGCCCCAGGAGUAGCAAAAACCCUCUCCUCGGGAUCCGGCGCGACGCUCGCCUGGGAACCACCCAUCAUUUCAAGUCUUGACCUCGGAUCAGGUAGGGAUACCCGCUGAACUUAA